This 451-nucleotide ribosomal RNA is filed under the name uncultured bacterium. Its description in RNAcentral is "partial 16S ribosomal RNA". It matches the Rfam family "Bacterial small subunit ribosomal RNA", at positions 29 to 523 of the family's 1533-position model. The record is from RNAcentral.
AACGAACGCUGGCGGCAGGUCUUAGGCAUGCAAGUCGAACGGGUGUAGCAAUACAUCAGUGGCGAACGAGUGAGUAACGCGUGGGAAACUGCCCACCUCUGGGGAAUAACGUUUGGAAACGAACGCUAAUACCGCAUACGCCCUGAGGGGGAAAGAUUUAUCGCUUUAAGAUUGGCCCGCGGAAGAUUAGGUAGUUGGUGGGGUAAAUGCCUACCAAGCCUACGAUCUAUAGCUCGUCUGAGAGGACGAUCAGCCACACUGGAACUGAGACACGGUCCAGACUCCUACGGGAGGCAGCAGUGAGGAAUAUUGGGCAAUGGAGGCAACUCUGACCCAGCCAUGCCGCGUGAAUGAAGAAGGUUUUCGGAUUGUAAAGCUCUUUCGGAUGUGACGAUGAUGACGGUAGCAUCUAAAGAAGCCCCGGCUAACUUCGUGCCAGCCGCCGCGGUAA